AUUGAACGCUGGCGGCAGGCCUAACACAUGCAAGUCGAGCGGCUGAGGGGAGUUUGCUCUUGGAUUCAGCGGCGGACGGGUGAGUAAUGCCUAGGAAUCUGCCUGGUAGUGGGGGAUAACGUCCGGAAACGGGCGCUAAUACCGCAUACGUCCUGAGGGAGAAAGUGGGGGAUCUUCGGACCUCACGCUAUUAGAUGAGCCUAGGUCGGAUUAGCUAGUUGGUGGGGUAAAGGCCUACCAAGGCGACGAUCCGUAGCUGGUCUGAGAGGAUGAUCAGUCACACUGGAACUGAGACACGGUCCAGACUCCUACGGGAGGCAGCAGUGGGGAAUAUUGGACAAUGGGCGAAAGCCUGAUCCAGCCAUGCCGCGUGUGUGAAGAAGGUCUUCGGAUUGUAAAGCACUUUAAGUGGGGAGGAAGGGCAGUAAGUUAAUACCUUGCUGUGUUGACGCUACCAACAGAAUAAGCACCGGCUAACUUCGUG
Molecule: ribosomal RNA, 484 nt
Filed under: uncultured bacterium
Lineage: Bacteria
Description: partial 16S ribosomal RNA
Rfam family: Bacterial small subunit ribosomal RNA
Source: RNAcentral